This 263-nucleotide ribosomal RNA is filed under the name uncultured bacterium. Its description in RNAcentral is "partial 16S ribosomal RNA". It matches the Rfam family "Bacterial small subunit ribosomal RNA", at positions 793 to 1055 of the family's 1533-position model. The record is from RNAcentral.
GUCCUCGCCGUAAACGAUGCACACUUGGUGUGGCUGGACUCAACCCCGGCCGUGCCGAAGCAAACGCGUUAAGUGUGCCGCCUGGGGAGUACGCUCGCAAGGGUGAAACUCAAAAGAAUUGACGGGGACCCGCACAAGCAGUGGAGCAUGUGGUUUAAUUCGAUGCAACGCGAAGAACCUUACCUGGGCUUGACAUGCAGAAGACAGUAUCAGAAAUGAUAUCUCCCUUCGGGGCUUCUGCACAGGUGCUGCAUGGCUGUCUU